This 305-nucleotide ribosomal RNA is filed under the name uncultured bacterium. RNAcentral's name for it is "bacterial SSU rRNA". It matches the Rfam family "Bacterial small subunit ribosomal RNA", at positions 338 to 660 of the family's 1533-position model. The record is from RNAcentral.
CCUCCGGGGCGCAGCAGUGGGGGAUAUUGCACAAUGGGGGGAACCCUGAUGCAGCGACUCCGCUUGUGCGCUGGAGUACUUCGGUAUGUAAAGCCCUAUCAGCAGGGAAGAAAAUGACGGUACCUGACUAAGAAGCCCCGGCUAAAUACGUGCCAGCAGCCGCGGUAAUACGUAUGGGGCAAGCGUUAUCCGGAUUUACUGGGUGUAAAGGGAGCGUAGGCGGCCGGGCAAGCCUGAUGUGAAAUACCGGGGCCCAACCCCGGGGCUGCAUUGGGAACUGCCAGGCUGGAGUGCCGGAGAGGCAG